CGAACUUCCGUUAAUUGAUUAUGACGUACUUGUACUGAUUGAGAUUUUAACACGAAGUGAGUGGCGAACGGGUGAGUAACACGUGGGUAACCUGCCCAGAAGUAGGGGAUAACACCUGGAAACAGAUGCUAAUACCGUAUAACAGAGAAAACCGCAUGGUUUUCUUUUAAAAGAUGGCUCUGCUAUCACUUCUGGAUGGACCCGCGGCGUAUUAGCUAGUUGGUGAGGUAAAGGCUCACCAAGGCAGUGAUACGUAGCCGACCUGAGAGGGUAAUCGGCCACAUUGGGACUGAGACACGGCCCAGACUCCUACGGGAGGCAGCAGUAGGGAAUCUUCCACAAUGGACGCAAGUCUGAUGGAGCAACGCCGCGUGAGUGAAGAAGGGUUUCGGCUCGUAAAGCUCUGUUGUUAAAGAAGAACGUGGGUAAGAGUAACUGUUUACCCAGUGACGGUAUUUAACCAGAAAGCCACGGCUAACUACGUGCCAGCAGCCGCGGUAAUACGUAGGUGGCAAGCGUUAUCCGGAUUUAUUGGGCGUAAAGCGAGCGCAGGCGGUCUUUUAAGUCUAAUGUGAAAGCCUUCGGCUCAAC
RNAcentral lists this ribosomal RNA (591 nucleotides) under Pediococcus pentosaceus. Its description in RNAcentral is "bacterial SSU rRNA". It matches the Rfam family "Bacterial small subunit ribosomal RNA", at positions 47 to 613 of the family's 1533-position model. Lineage: Bacteria; Bacillati; Bacillota; Bacilli; Lactobacillales; Lactobacillaceae. The record is from RNAcentral.